UGAAGGAGAUAGGAAGGACUGAAUAUGAAAAGGGGAUAACAAGCUUAAGCUUUUGAGGGGCUUGUUCCAUGAGUCAACAGAGAACUCUGCCAGAGAGAAAGCCCGAGCUUGCACACUGACCCAGCAGAAGUACAAGGGAACCUGGAGUAUUAUGUUCUAUGCCACCACCUCCCAUACCAGUAAAUUUAGCUUACCAUGGACUAAAAACCUCACAAACCAUGAGCCAAAAUAAACCCAAUGACC
Long non-coding RNA from Mastomys coucha (southern multimammate mouse), 243 nucleotides. RefSeq lists it as uncharacterized. The record is from RefSeq and is a predicted model, not a curated record. Lineage: Eukaryota; Metazoa; Chordata; Mammalia; Rodentia; Muridae. The transcript is spliced from 2 exons.